UAUGAAACAGUUGAUCAUUAU
This 21-nucleotide non-coding RNA is filed under the name Caenorhabditis elegans. The record is from RNAcentral. Lineage: Eukaryota; Metazoa; Nematoda; Chromadorea; Rhabditida; Rhabditidae.